CGGGUGCUACCAUGCAGUCGAACGGUGAAGCCCAGCUUGCUGGGUGGAUCAGUGGCGAACGGGUGAGUAACACGUGAGCAACCUGCCCUGGACUCUGGGAUAAGCGCUGGAAACGGCGUCUAAUACUGGAUAUGAACCACGAAGGCAUCUUCAGUGGUUGGAAAGAUUUUUCGGUCUGGGAUGGGCUCGCGGCCUAUCAGCUUGUUGGUGAGGUAAUGGCUCACCAAGGCGUCGACGGGUAGCCGGCCUGAGAGGGUGACCGGCCACACUGGGACUGAGACACGGCCCAGACUCCUACGGGAGGCAGCAGUGGGGAAUAUUGCACAAUGGGCGGAAGCCUGAUGCAGCAACGCCGCGUGAGGGAUGACGGCCUUCGGGUUGUAAACCUCUUUUAGCAAGGAAGAAGCUUUUGUGACGGUACUUGCAGAAAAAGCGCCGGCUAACUACGUGCCAGCAGCCGCGGUAAUACGUAGGGCGCAAGCGUUAUCCGGAAUUAUUGGGCGUAAAGAGCUCGUAGGCGGUUUGUCGCGUCUGCUGUGAAAUCCCGAGGCUCAACCUCGGGCCUGCAGUGGGUACGGGCAGACUAGAGUGCGGUAGGGGAGAUUGGAAUUCCUGGUGUAGCGGUGGAAUGCGCAGAUAUCAGGAGGAACACCGAUGGCGAAGGCAGAUCUCUGGGCCGUAACUGACGCUGAGGAGCGAAAGGGUGGGGAGCAAACAGGCUUAAAUACCCUGGUAGUCCACCCCGUAAACGUUGGGGAACUAGUUGUGGGGUCCUUUCCACGGAUUCCGUGACGCAGCUAACGCAUUAAGUUCCCCGCCUGGGGGAGUACGGCCGCAAGGCUAAAAACUCAAAGGGAAUUGACGGGGAACC
This 871-nucleotide ribosomal RNA is filed under the name Microbacterium sp. Its description in RNAcentral is "bacterial SSU rRNA". It matches the Rfam family "Bacterial small subunit ribosomal RNA", at positions 43 to 922 of the family's 1533-position model. Lineage: Bacteria; Bacillati; Actinomycetota; Actinomycetes; Micrococcales; Microbacteriaceae. The record is from RNAcentral.